CAUUAUCGUACCACAGAGGUGCAAGGGUUGUCGCUGACCUUUCCAAAAGGUCCUGCACACCCGAUCGCUCUCAAUCCAUUUCACCCUUUGUGCAUCACCGCGCAUGGUCGCUCCCUCUUGGCUUGCUUCGAGAGGGGGAGGCUCGCGUUUUUCACACAUAAACACCCUUCUAGUUUAAAAUGUCAUUCAUUUGCGAUAACACGCAAUCAAUACAACUUUCAACAACGGAUCUCUUGGCUCUCGCAUCGAUGAAGAACGCAGCGAAAUGCGAUACGUAAUGUGAAUUGCAGAAUUCAGUGAAUCAUCGAAUCUUUGAACGCAUCUUGCGCCCCUUGGUAUUCCGAGGGGCACACCCGUUUGAGUGUCGUGAAAUUCUCAAACCUUCUUGGUUUCUUGAUCAAGAUGGCUUUGGACUUUGGAGGUGUUUUGCUGGCUUUGUGAAAAGCCAGCUCCUCUUAAAUGCAUUAGUGGGGUCCCCUUUGCCGAUCCCCAGGCGUGAUAAGAUGUUUCUACGUCUUGGGAUUUGCUCUGUUCCUUGGGAACCCGCUUCUAACUGUCUCAUGGGAGACAUCGUUCGAGUUUGCUCGACCCACGAACCUUGACCUCAAAUCGGGUGAGACUACCCGCUGAAC
This 632-nucleotide ribosomal RNA is filed under the name uncultured Russula. Its description in RNAcentral is "eukaryotic LSU rRNA". The stretch from base 214 to 367 matches the Rfam family "5.8S ribosomal RNA". The record is from RNAcentral. Lineage: Eukaryota; Fungi; Basidiomycota; Agaricomycetes; Russulales; Russulaceae.